This 1369-nucleotide ribosomal RNA is filed under the name uncultured bacterium. Its description in RNAcentral is "bacterial SSU rRNA". It matches the Rfam family "Bacterial small subunit ribosomal RNA", at positions 28 to 1381 of the family's 1533-position model. The record is from RNAcentral.
GACGAACGCUGGCGGCGUGCCUAAUACAUGCAAGUAGAACGCUGAAGAGAGGAGCUUGCUCUUCUUGGAUGAGUUGCGAACGGGUGAGUAACGCGUAGGUAACCUGCCUUGUAGCGGGGGAUAACUAUUGGAAACGAUAGCUAAUACCGCAUAACAAUGGAUGACACAUGUCAUUUAUUUGAAAGGGGCAAUUGCUCCACUACAAGAUGGACCUGCGUUGUAUUAGCUAGUAGGUGAGGUAACGGCUCACCUAGGCGACGAUACAUAGCCGACCUGAGAGGGUGAUCGGCCACACUGGGACUGAGACACGGCCCAGACUCCUACGGGAGGCAGCAGUAGGGAAUCUUCGGCAAUGGGGGCAACCCUGACCGAGCAACGCCGCGUGAGUGAAGAAGGUUUUCGGAUCGUAAAGCUCUGUUGUAAGUCAAGAACGAGUGUGAGAGUGGAAAGUUCACACUGUGACGGUAGCUUACCAGAAAGGGACGGCUAACUACGUGCCAGCAGCCGCGGUAAUACGUAGGUCCCGAGCGUUGUCCGGAUUUAUUGGGCGUAAAGCGAGCGCAGGCGGUUUGAUAAGUCUGAAGUUAAAGGCUGUGGCUCAACCAUAGUUCGCUUUGGAAACUGUCAAACUUGAGUGCAGAAGGGGAGAGUGGAAUUCCAUGUGUAGCGGUGAAAUGCGUAGAUAUAUGGAGGAACACCGGUGGCGAAAGCGGCUCUCUGGUCUGUAACUGACGCUGAGGCUCGAAAGCGUGGGGAGCGAACAGGAUUAGAUACCCUGGUAGUCCACGCCGUAAACGAUGAGUGCUAGGUGUUGGAUCCUUUCCGGGAUUCAGUGCCGCAGCUAACGCAUUAAGCACUCCGCCUGGGAAGUACGACCGCAAGGUUGAAACUCAAAGGAAUUGACGGGGGCCCGCACAAGCGGUGGAGCAUGUGGUUUAAUUCGAAGCAACGCGAAGAACCUUACCAGGUCUUGACAUCCCGAUGCUAUUUCUAGAGAUAGAAAGUUACUUCGGUACAUCGGUGACAGGUGGUGCAUGGUUGUCGUCAGCUCGUGUCGUGAGAUGUUGGGUUAAGUCCCGCAACGAGCGCAACCCCUAUUGUUAGUUGCCAUCAUUCAGUUGGGCACUCUAGCGAGACUGCCGGUAAUAAACCGGAGGAAGGUGGGGAUGACGUCAAAUCAUCAUGCCCCUUAUGACCUGGGCUACACACGUGCUACAAUGGUUGGUACAACGAGUUGCGAGUCGGUGACGGCAAGCUAAUCUCUUAAAGCCAAUCUCAGUUCGGAUUGUAGGCUGCAACUCGCCUACAUGAAGUCGGAAUCGCUAGUAAUCGCGGAUCAGCACGCCGCGGUGAAUACGUUCCCGGGCCU